GUAAAUCCUCUUUUAAGAAAAGUAAUAUUGUUUCAUUUUUACAAUUUAUUCUCAAUAGCUGCAAAUGUUAAAUAACACCAAGAUUAAAAUCGCCAACAGCUAGUGUAUAGCUCGGUUGGUAUAGGCGGAUCCAAUUUUUUUUUUUGGGGGGGGGGGGCCCGGGUCCGGGUCCCCCGUUUGUGGGAUUUUUUUUAUUGAUUAUAUACCAUAAAGGGAAUAACUGACUGGAGAUACCCCUCACUUUAGUUCAGGCAGCACCCUGUCAUGUAUUUGUUUAAAAAAAAAAUAUAUAUUGCCAUUCACUCUAAAAAAAGAAGCUGAAUACGUAAAUCCUCUUUUAAGAAAAGUAACAUUGUUUCAUUUUUACAAUUUAUUUUCAAUACUGCAACCAAGAUUAAAAGCGCCAACAGCUAGUGUAUAGCUCGGUUGGUAUAUUUAAUAGAAAGAUAUUUGUAAAUAUGGUAAAUAAACUCAUCAUAAAUACCAGGAUUGAAAUUUUACAUUCACGACAGACGGGUAUUUCGUCUACAAAAGACUCAUCAUUGACGCUCGACUAAAAAAUGUUAAUAAGGCCAAAUGAAACUGACCAUUUAACUUAAAAAAUGGCGAAGUGCAAGCAUUUUUUUAGUUUUUUAAACGCUAUCCUCUUGACCACAUAAUGUGUUUUCAUCAAAAUUGGAAAUGAUAAUAUUUUAUAAAGAAAAAUCUUUACCUACGUCGCAUUAUAUAUACUAGUAUACUAACAUAUUGUGUUGUAAAAUGAUGCCCUUUAUGGGUUCUUGAUUAGAUUAAUAAAAAAUUCUAUACUAUUAACAAAUUCAAAAUAUACUGCUUUACAAAAAAGGUAAAACAACAGAUACAUUCAAGUCAAAUCUAUCUUAAUUUCUGUCAAGUUUUUCCAUUUUCAAGUAAAGAAAAUCACGCAUUAUGGUUCCAUUUAUUUCCUGUAAUAAUUAGAUCACUUGCAUACUUGUAACACACACACAAUAUGUAUUGUUUAUUUGUUGAAAUAUAUUAAAAUAUGCGCUGCUGAACUUAUAUUAGUCAGUAUAGUAUAUAGACGUGUAUACCAAAGACAAAUUUAUACAUUGUUUAAUUUCCUGUAGUGUUUGAUAAUGACCCAGUGACCUACAACUUUUAUAAUAAAUAAACCACAUAGACAACGCUUCUGAAUCAGUAUAAAAAGUAUGAAUUAUUUGUUAAACUAGUGUAAAAUGUGGUGUGAAAUAAUUGGUAAAGGCAACGAUAUCCGGCUAAUUAAAUUGACCCGAUGAGCUGACAUGAUGUUGAAUUUAUUUUGGA
Molecule: long non-coding RNA, 1302 nt
Filed under: Mytilus galloprovincialis (Mediterranean mussel)
Lineage: Eukaryota; Metazoa; Mollusca; Bivalvia; Mytilida; Mytilidae
Source: RNAcentral